CCGUCAAUUCAUUUAAGUUUCAGUCUUGCGACCGUACUCCCCAGGCGGAAUGCUUAAAGCGUUAGCGACGGCACCCGGGGACUAUAAAACCUCAGACACCAAGCAUUCAUCGUUUAAGGCUAGGACUACCGGGGUAUCUAAUCCCGUUCGCUCCCCUAGCUUUCGCGCCUCAGCGUCAGUGUCAGCCCAGCAACCCGCCUUCGCCGCAGGUGUUCCUCUCGAUAUCUACGCAUUUCACCGCUACACCGAGAAUUCCAGUUGCCCCUUCUGCACUCUAGCCCCGCAGUAUCGGCUGACCUUUCCGGGUUAAGCCCGGAGAUUUCACAGUCGACUUGCGGUGGCCGCCUACGCGCCCUUUACGCCCAGUAAAUCCGAACAACGCUUGCUCCCCCCGUAUUAC
RNAcentral lists this unclassified non-coding RNA (400 nucleotides) under uncultured fungus. RNAcentral describes it as "sequence contains ITS1". The record is from RNAcentral. Lineage: Eukaryota; Fungi.